This 431-nucleotide ribosomal RNA is filed under the name uncultured Corynebacterium sp. Its description in RNAcentral is "bacterial SSU rRNA". It matches the Rfam family "Bacterial small subunit ribosomal RNA", at positions 354 to 796 of the family's 1533-position model. Lineage: Bacteria; Bacillati; Actinomycetota; Actinomycetes; Mycobacteriales; Corynebacteriaceae. The record is from RNAcentral.
GUGGGGAAUAUUGCACAAUGGGGGAAACCCUGAUGCAGCGACGCCGCGUGGGGGAUGAAGGCCUUCGGGUUGUAAACUCCUUUCGCUAGGGACGAAGCUUUUUGUGACGGUACCUGGAGAAGAAGCACCGGCUAACUACGUGCCAGCAGCCGCGGUAAUACGUAGGGUGCGAGCGUUGUCCGGAAUUACUGGGCGUAAAGGGCUCGUAGGUGGUGUGUCGCGUCGUCUGUGAAAUUCCGGGGCUUAACUCCGGGCGUGCAGGCGAUACGGGCAUGCUUGAGUGCUGUAGGGGUAGCUGGAAUGCCUGGUGUAGCGGUGAAAUGCGCAGAUAUCAGGCAGAACGCCGAUGGCGAAGGCAGGUUACUGGGCAGUUACUGACGCUGAGGAGCGAAAGCAUGGGUAGCGAACAGGAUUAGAAACCCGUGUAGUCC